RNAcentral lists this ribosomal RNA (465 nucleotides) under uncultured ammonia-oxidizing bacterium. RNAcentral's name for it is "bacterial SSU rRNA". It matches the Rfam family "Bacterial small subunit ribosomal RNA", at positions 198 to 644 of the family's 1533-position model. The record is from RNAcentral.
GGAGGAAAGUAGGGGAUCGAAAGACCUUGAGCUUUUGGAGCGGCCGAUGUCUGAUUAGCUAGUUGGUGGGGUAAGGGCCUACCAAGGCGACGAUCAGUAGUUGGUCUGAGAGGACGACCAGCCACACUGGGACUGAGACACGGCCCAGACUCCUACGGGAGGCAGCAGUGGGGAAUUUUGGACAAUGGGCGCAAGCCUGAUCCAGCAAUGCCGCGUGAGUGAAGAAGGCCUUCGGGUUGUAAAGCUCUUUCAGUCGAGAAGAAAAGGCUGCAGUGAAUAACUGUAGUUUAUGACGGUAUUGACAGAAGAAGCACCGGCUAACUACGUGCCAGCAGCCGCGGUAAUACGUAGGGUGCGAGCGUUAAUCGGAAUUACUGGGCGUAAAGGGUGCGCAGGCGGUUUUGUAAGUCAGAUGUGAAAUCCCCGGGCUUAACCUGGGAAUUGCGUUUGAAACUACAAAGCUAG